Notechis scutatus (mainland tiger snake) is the source of this 1766-nucleotide long non-coding RNA. The record is from Ensembl. NCBI's taxonomy places the organism in Eukaryota, Metazoa, Chordata, Lepidosauria, Squamata, Elapidae.
CAGAAGCUGAGGUGACAAUUUCAUGGAAAGCAGAGACUGGACAGAUUAAAGCUAAGGUGGGACCUAAAGGAGAGUUAGAUGCUGAAGCAGCUGAAGCUGAGUUGACAGUUGCAUGGAAAGCAGAAACUAGACAGGUCAAAGCUAAAAUGGCACCUAAAGAGGAGUUAUAUGCUGAAGAAGCAGAAGCUGAAAUGAUACUUAAAAAAGAGGCAGAAACUGGACAACCAGACAAGAUAGUAACUGAAGGGUGGUUAGAUGUUGCAGAAGCAGAAGCUGAGUUGACAGUUAAGGGAAAAGCAAAAACUAUAGAGGCAGAAUCUCAUAAGAUAGCUGAAAGGGAAUUAGAAGUCAAAAUGGCAGAAUCUGAGGGGAUACUUAAAAAGGGGACAGAAGGCAAGGUCGCCUUGAAAUGGAAGCCAGAUACUGGAGAGGCUGAGGUGAUAUCUAAAGGGGAAUUAGAAUUUGAAGAAGCAGAAGCUGAGUUGCCAUUUAAAGAAAAAGCAAUAGAGAAAACACUUAAACCAAAGGCAGUAAUUAUAGAGGAAGAGGCUGAUGUGAUACCUAAAGAGGAAUUAGACGUCAAAGAGGCAGAAACUGAGGGGACGCUUAAAAGGGAGGCAGAAACUGGAUUGGCCAAAGGUAAGGUGGUGCCUAAAGAGAAGUUAGGUGCUGAAGAAGCAGAAGCGGAGAUGAUACUUAAGAGGAAAGGAGAAAGUAUGGAAGCAGAGUCUGAAAUAAUAGCUGGAAAGGACUUAGAAGCAGAAGAGGCAGAAGCUGAGGGGACACUUAAAAAGAAGGCAGAAGGCAAGGUAGCCUUGGAACAGAAGGCAAAAGCUGUAAAGCCAGAGACUGAGGAAGCGUUUGAAGAGGAGGCAGAAGUUAAAGUUGUACCAAAACGCCAGGAAACAGAAGAUUCAGAAGCAAAGGGAGAAGUGCUUUCUGUGGUUAUAGGAGCUCUGAAUGAAACCACCUUUGGAGAUCAAGGGUUAGUCACCAGGAGAGAAGAAAUUAUAGCAGAAAUAAAACAUACUUCUGAAUCAGCCCCACAAAAAGAAACAUUUAUUGGAGGAGAUAUGAAAAAGCAGGAGAUGAAAAAAGAACCUGGUCUCCAAACUGGAGUAUCUGACAAAGCUGAAACAAGGGAAACAUUUCUUUACAUGGAAGUACAGGAGGAAGUCAUAGCUCCUGAAGAAGAGAAGGAACAGGAUGAAUCAGACACAGGAGAAGAGAUGAGAGAAGGGAUGAUAACACUUGCAGAUGUAGAAGAAGCUCUCUUAAUAGGGAUACAGCAGCUGAUAACAGAAGUAUCACAGAUCAAUGAAAAAGAUAAAGAUAAAGAAGAACCUCUGAUGGAAAGAUCAGCAGAAGAGGAAUCACCUCAGGAGUGUGCUACAAGUGAAGAUUUUUUUGCUAUUGUAGUAAAUGAAGAAAGGGAGACCAUUGAGAGCAGUAACAGUGAGGGAGAAGGAAUUGGGGAGCAUUCAGAAGAAGAAACAGGAGAGCCUUCAGAAGAAGGAACAGGGGAGCCUUCAGAAGAAGGAACAAGGGAGCCUUCGGAAGAAGAAACAAGGGAGACUUCGGAAGAAGGAACAGGGGAGCCUUCAGAAGAAACCCCUUCAGAUGAAAAAGAUGGAAAUAUAAACUGUGAAAUGGGAUUGGAGGAGACUACAGAUGAAACAAUCACAAUGACAAAUACCAUUCUUUGGAGCUCCCAGGAGUAUGAAAGAGAGUGUCACCAAGAUCCUACUGGAUCUGAUUGAGAAGGC